UACAGAGGGUGCGAGCGUUGUCCGGAAUCACUGGGCGUAAAGGGCGCGUAGGUGGUGGCUUAAGCGUGCGGUGAAAGCUCGGGGCUCAACCCCGAGUCGGCCGUGCGAACUGGGCUCACUGGAGCAUAGUAGAGGCAGGUGGAAUUCCGGGUGUAGCGGUGGAAUGCGUAGAGAUCCGGAAGAACACCCGUGGCUAAGGCGGCUCUCUAGUACGGUACUGACGCUGAGACGCGAAAGCGUGGGGAGCAAACAGG
Molecule: ribosomal RNA, 254 nt
Filed under: uncultured bacterium
Lineage: Bacteria
Description: partial 16S ribosomal RNA
Rfam family: Bacterial small subunit ribosomal RNA
Source: RNAcentral